AUUGAACGCUGGCGGCAUGCUUUACACAUGCAAGUCGAACGGCAGCGCGGGCUUCGGCCUGGCGGCGAGUGGCGAACGGGUGAGUAAUACAUCGGAACGUGCCCAGUAGUGGGGGAUAGCUCGGCGAAAGCCGGAUUAAUACCGCAUACGACCUGAGGGUGAAAGCGGGGGAUCUUCGGACCUCGCGCUAUUGGAGCGGCCGAUGGCAGAUUAGCUAGUUGGUGGGGUAAAGGCCUACCAAGGCGACGAUCUGUAGCUGGUCUGAGAGGACGACCAGCCACACUGGACUGAGACACGGCCCAGACUCCUACGGGAGGCAGCCGUGGGGAAUUUUGGACAAUGGGCGAAAGCCUGAUCCAGCAAUGCCGCGUGUGUGAUGAAGGCCUUCGGGUUGUAAAGCACUUUUGGCGGGAACGAAAAGGACUGUGCCAAUACCACGGUUCGAUGACGGUACCCGCAGAAUAAGCACCGGCUAACUACGUG
This 483-nucleotide ribosomal RNA is filed under the name uncultured bacterium. RNAcentral's name for it is "partial 16S ribosomal RNA". It matches the Rfam family "Bacterial small subunit ribosomal RNA", at positions 29 to 507 of the family's 1533-position model. The record is from RNAcentral.